GGAGAAACAGAGAACAACUUAUACAAUUUCUCUGGGCACGGAGACUGAUUCAACAAGAAUGAAUCAUUUGUCUUUCAGUUAGCCUGGAAACAGAUAAUCUUGUGUCUGAAUUCUUUUAUAAUAAAGCGCCUUUGACAGCAGAACUUUUAGGGAUGAGGAAAGGAACUUACGGAACAACUGAAGAAAUCCCAUGAAGCUUGGAAAGGAG
Molecule: long non-coding RNA, 208 nt
Organism: Pan paniscus (pygmy chimpanzee)
Lineage: Eukaryota; Metazoa; Chordata; Mammalia; Primates; Hominidae
Source: Ensembl